This is a non-coding RNA of Callithrix jacchus (white-tufted-ear marmoset), 592 nucleotides long. The record is from RefSeq and is a predicted model, not a curated record. NCBI's taxonomy places the organism in Eukaryota, Metazoa, Chordata, Mammalia, Primates, Cebidae.
UCUUCCCUCAUUAAUAGAUUAAGGCAAUUAUUGUGGAAGUGUGUUUGUUAUUGCAGGAGCAGUUUCCUUACAAAAGGAUGAGUUCAGCCCCCUUUUGCCUCUCUCUCACUCUGUCUUUGACCUUCUUUCAUGAAGCAAGAAGGCCCUUGCCAGAUGCCAGCACUUUGGUAUUGAACUUCUUAUCCUCCAGAGCGGUUUGUUUCUUUUCUCCGUCAUACCUCAAGAGGAACACAAAGAGUGACAGCCUGUCACUCUGAUGCUUCUCUCUAUUCAAAUGGCAGAAACCAACCAGGUACAUACCAGCCUUCUUGCAGGUAGGAACACUACACAGCACUUCAGCAGUAUGUUUGGGAGCCAUUUUAAACAGCAAAAUAAUCAACAAGAAGCAGAAAAAUGUAAAAAAUAUGGUACUAAAUAGACCAUGUAAAGGACACAUGUUUACAAUAAGAAAGCUGAAACAAGAAGUGGGAGUGUCAUCUUAUUCGAUCCAGCUAGAAAUUCAAGUGCUGGUAUUCCAGCAACACUCAGGCAGCUGCUCCAGGAGGCUGCAGAGGGGUCCUUCUCAGCAGCCAGCAAAACUGGCUGUGGUCAC